GGAAGGGACGUGCGCUGCCACAAAGGGGCAGUGAACGUUGCUUCCCCUUUGAAAACAAAACCAAAAGAAAACAAGAAAAGGAAAGAGAAGAAGAGGGGAAGAGGGAAGAGUUUGGGAGGCUCGUGGGAGAUAAAAAGGGGUAUGGGUCUGCACUUAGGGAGGGAAAUCAUUGCUGCCAAGUUUCUGAGAGAGGUGAAGUUGAAGCUGCAAGCAAGGUUUGGUUCUGCAAGUUGGGGAAAAGAAGAGGAGGAGAACUUUUGGAGUUGGAAGGAAAUCAAACUCUCUGGAAGUGAUUCAAGGAAGUCUUCAAGAGCAUUUGGACACAGCACACGUGUCAGCGUUUGAGAGGGCCACGUUUUGAGGGAAAAAAGCUGCUGCGUUCUGAGCAUUUCUGAUCAAGCCUGCUUCAAAUUUGACGUGAGGACGGGCACGGGCAGUGUUGGGUGUGCGUUUCAGAAAUUAAAAUGAAAAUGAAAUAUCACUUGGAAAGGGAGCGGUCAGGGGUAUUUGUUUGGCGUUUGAAAUUUGAAUUUCAUUUUUGAACAAUUUUAGAGAGAAGUGAAGGUUGAGAGAGAGAGUCUAACCUAGAGAGAGCCCGAGAGAGUUGGAGAAAGGGAGUUCGAGAGAGAGAGGUCCGACGGAGUGCUUGCCGGAAUGCCGCCGGACAACGUUGAAGGCCGUGUCGGAGCUAUUCAACUCCUCCAGCCGGUUCCGAUUCACGGUCGCCGCAGCUCCGACGUUGGCCAACGAAACGAAGGCGGCAUCGUCUUCCCUCCAACCCAGCGAACUAGGGGCGCGUUCUGAGUCUCGAUUCGUCCCACCUGCUUCCCUCCCUGUGCCGGACCUUUGCAUUCACCGCCGGAGCAUCGCCGGAGUGCCGCCGGAGUGUCGACUGUUCGGUGGACGAAAAAGAGGGGUUUAGGUUUAGGUUUCUUUCCCAUUUGGGGAGGUUUAGGGUUUGGUUUCUUUCCCAUUUUCAUGUAUUGAACUGAGUCUCUUUGAAAUUUUCUAGUUGAAUCUGUUUCUCCA
Vigna angularis (adzuki bean) is the source of this 1029-nucleotide long non-coding RNA. RefSeq lists it as uncharacterized. NCBI's taxonomy places the organism in Eukaryota, Viridiplantae, Streptophyta, Magnoliopsida, Fabales, Fabaceae. The transcript is spliced from 2 exons. The record is from RefSeq and is a predicted model, not a curated record.